RNAcentral lists this non-coding RNA (26 nucleotides) under Rattus norvegicus (Norway rat). The record is from RNAcentral. Lineage: Eukaryota; Metazoa; Chordata; Mammalia; Rodentia; Muridae.
CCUGCUAAUGUCAGUGUGCCACUGGA